ACGGGAGGCAGCAGUGGGGAAUAUUGGACAAUGGGGGAAACCCUGAUCCAGCGACGCCGCGUGAGUGAAGAAGUAUUUCGGUAUGUAAAGCUCUAUCAGCAGGGAAGAUGAUGACGGUACCUGACUAAGAAGCCCCGGCUAACUACGUGCCAGCAGCCGCGGUAAUACGUAGGGGGCGAGCGUUGUCCGGAAUGACUGGGCGUAAAGGGUGUGUAGGUGGUUUGAUAAGUUAGAAGUGUAAUACCCAGGGCUUAACUCGGGUGCUGCUUCUAAAACUGUUAGACUUGAGUACUGGAGAGGAUAGUGGAAUUCCUAGUGUAGCGGUGGGAUGCGUAGAUAUUAGGAGGAACAUCAGUGGCGAAGGCGACUAUCUGGACAGCAACUGACACUGAGGCACGAAAGCGUGGGGAGCAAACAGGAUUAGAUACCCUGGUA
RNAcentral lists this ribosomal RNA (435 nucleotides) under uncultured Anaerostipes sp. Its description in RNAcentral is "partial 16S ribosomal RNA". It matches the Rfam family "Bacterial small subunit ribosomal RNA", at positions 341 to 792 of the family's 1533-position model. Lineage: Bacteria; Bacillati; Bacillota; Clostridia; Lachnospirales; Lachnospiraceae. The record is from RNAcentral.